RNAcentral lists this ribosomal RNA (501 nucleotides) under uncultured bacterium. RNAcentral describes it as "bacterial SSU rRNA". It matches the Rfam family "Bacterial small subunit ribosomal RNA", at positions 28 to 529 of the family's 1533-position model. The record is from RNAcentral.
GACGAACGCUGGCGGCGUGCCUAACACAUGCAAGUCGAGCGGGGUUGAAGCGAGAGGUAACUCGAACUUCUACCUAGCGGCGGACGGGUGAGUAACGCGUGGGCAACCUGCCUCAAGGUCUGGGAUAACAGCCCGAAAGGGCUGCUAAUACCGGGUAUGCUUGUGGCCUCGCAUGGGGCUAUGAGCAAAGGGGAAACCCGCCUUGAGAUGGGCCCGCGUCCCAUCAGCUAGUUGGUGAGGUAACAGCUCACCAAGGCGACGACGGGUAGCCGGCCUGAGAGGGUGACCGGCCACACUGGGACUGAGACACGGCCCAGACUCCUACGGGGGGCAGCAGUGGGGGAUCUUGCACAAUGGGCGAAAGCCUGAUGUAGCGACGCCGCGUGAGCGAAGAAGGCCUUCGGUUGUAAGCUCUGUCUGGAGGGACGGAAGGAAGUGACGGUACCUCCGGAGGAAGCCACGGCUAACUACGUGCCAGCAGCGCGGUAACAGUAACUCGUA